Molecule: non-coding RNA, 87 nt
Organism: Gossypium raimondii (Peruvian cotton)
Lineage: Eukaryota; Viridiplantae; Streptophyta; Magnoliopsida; Malvales; Malvaceae
Source: Rfam
CACGUCAGUGCGAGUUGCUGACGUGGCAACAAAUUGCGCCCUCUAGGACGCGAUUUGCUACCACAUCAGCAACUCACGCUGACGUGG